UUCUCACCCUUACUUCAACAACAUCAACUUGUUGCAGCUGCCGCCGGUCUCUCCUCGAAGGAAACAAUACAUCAACUACCGCCGGUCUUUGCUGGAUUAACCUUGCCUCGCUGCCAAACCCUCCCUUCCCCACCUCGCCUCGCCACCAAGCCCAUCCCCAGCCUUCCUCCCCACCACCACUGUUGAGGAGAAAAUGGCUGUUGGCCACAAUCUCCUCCCCACUUGCCGUCGUGUUUACCUCGAUCACAGAUCACCACCUUCCCACAAACCCGUUUUGAUUCAAGCGAACCGGACAAAAGGGGGAUGAUAUGGGGGGAAGAGGUUGAGAAUGAGCCAGGCAGAGACGAGGCAUAGAAGGAUGAGGAUAGAGAACUAUGGUUUGAACUCUGUGUUUGCGGAGUUUCUGAGCCCUAGAUGAUCAAUUUAGGUUUGAACUAUGGCUUUCUUCUUCGACGGUUAGCGUCGCCAAUCAGAGUUGCUUGCCCCCUUUUUCAUUUUAGGAAAACGAAAAAAUGGAUCACGGCUCCAACAUUUGUCUCAUUCAGCUUUGAUUGGGCAGAGUGCGCAAGUCGGUGGGCACUUACCCAUGUUAUCUGGGCAAGCUGCAACAGCAGCGGCUUCCGCUCAAUUCAUCCCUGGCUUCGUCGGAGAUAUCAUUCAACAUAUUUUGAGAUUGACAAAUCUGGAGAGGUCGGGAAUGGGGCGAGUGAGGGAGUUGUUUUGCAAGCUGAUGGACAGAGAUUGCAGAGGAUUAAGGAUGUAAUCAGCGAGCCCCUUGCUUCAGACAUCGACUGUUGCUAUUACCUGAAAACUGAAAAAUAAGGAGAAAAACGAACCAGAUGUCAUAUCUUAGUAUCUCCCAGAAAUCUGGGUUCCGUGCAGAUUUUAGAGAUACUCAGCAGAUCCGGCGUUUCAUUCAACAAUCACUGUUCAUCGACAACAUCGCACGAUUGAUACUGUUGCUGAAGAAGACAAUACAUGCAAAGGAGGAAGGGAGUGCCGGUCGAGAGGAAGAGUUCGCAUGACCGCCCCACAAACGUCCCACACGACGUGCGACUGACACCUGUCCAGUUGCACGCGGUGGGGCGUUCCCGCGUGCGACGCUAACGUGACGGACGUUAGCCCCGCCAGUUAGCCCCAAAACCAACUCAAAAGUGCUGGAACGCGCCCCCCUGAAGCUCUUUUCCCAUAUUCGCACCCCUCCUGAAGCUCAAAUCGGAGGAGAGGCUCUGACCCCCGUUCUCUGCCCGAGCUCGGAUCUCCGCUUCCAUCUCCGGCACCGGUGAACGCUCCGGUUACCAGUUUUGGCUAGCUUAGGAAAAAACGACAGAAGGAGAAAGAGAAGGUAGUGCAGUGAUUGGCUAUGGCUACACAAAGCAGAAUUUUCAAACUUUAUUAUUAAUUUGUAUGCUUUGGUACAGAUACAGAAAGCUGAAUUUUCAAACACUUUAUUAUUAAUUUGUAUGCUUUGGUACAAAUGUUGUUUGGCUA
Molecule: long non-coding RNA, 1491 nt
Organism: Nelumbo nucifera (sacred lotus)
Lineage: Eukaryota; Viridiplantae; Streptophyta; Magnoliopsida; Proteales; Nelumbonaceae
Source: RefSeq, a predicted model, not a curated record